CCUACGGGUGGCAGCAGUGAGGAAUAUUGGUCAAUGGACGAGAGUCUGAACCAGCCACGUAGCGUGAAGGAUGACUGCCCUAUGGGUUGUAAACUUCUUUUAUAGAGGAAUAAAACGAGGCACGUGUGCCUUUUUGCAUGUACUUUAUGAUUAAGGCUCGGCUAACUCCGUGCCAGCAGCCGCGGUAAUACGGAGGAUCCGAGCGUUAUCCGGAUUUAUUGGGUUUAAAGGGAGCGUAGAUGGGUUGUUAAGUCAGUUGUGAAAGGUUGCGGCUCAACCGUAAAAUUGCAAUUGAUACUGGCAGGCUGGAGUACAGUUGAGGUAGGCGGAAUUCGUGGUGUAGCGGUGAAAUGCGUAGAUAUCACGAAGAACACCGGUUGCGAAGGCAGCUUACUAAACUGUAACUGACAUUGAUGCUCGAAAGUGUGGGGAGCAAACAGGAUUAGAUACCCCUGUAGUC
This 460-nucleotide ribosomal RNA is filed under the name uncultured bacterium. Its description in RNAcentral is "partial 16S ribosomal RNA". It matches the Rfam family "Bacterial small subunit ribosomal RNA", at positions 338 to 795 of the family's 1533-position model. The record is from RNAcentral.